UGGGAUGGCUACCAGAUUAGUAUGAUCCUGGCUCGGUGAUGCAUAGCUUGCUCUGAGGAUCAGUGGCGAACGGGUGAGUAACACGUGAGCAACCUGCCCUUGACUCUGGGAUAAGCGCUGGAAACGGCGUCUAAUACCGGAUAUGAGCUGCGAUCGCAUGGUCAGCAGUUGGAAAGAUUUUUCGGUCUGGGAUGGGCUCACGGCCUAUCAGCUUGUUGGUGAGGUAAUGGCUCACCAAGGCGUCGACGGGUAGCCGGCCUGAGAGGGUGACCGGCCACACUGGGACUGAGACACGGCCCAGACUCCUACGGGAGGCAGCAGUGGGGAAUAUUGCACAAUGGGCGAAAGCCUGAUGCAGCAACGCCGCGUGAGGGAUGACGGCCUUCGGGUUGUAAACCUCUUUUAGCAGGGAAGAAGCGAAAGUGACGGUACCUGCAGAAAAAGCGCCGGCUAACUACGUGCCAGCAGCCGCGGUAAUACGUAGGGCGCAAGCGUUAUCCGGAAUUAUUGGGCGUAAAGAGCUCGUAGGCGGUUUGUCGCGUCUGCUGUGAAAUCCCGAGGCUCAACCUCGGGUCUGCAGUGGGUACGGGCAGACUAGAGUGCGGUAGGGGAGAUUGGAAUUCCUGGUGUAGCGGUGGAAUGCGCAGAUAUCAGGAGGAACACCGAUGGCGAAGGCAGAUCUCUGGGCCGUUACUGACGCUGAGGAGCGAAAGGGUGGGGAGCAAACAGGCUUAGAUACCCUGGUAGUCCACCCCGUAAACGUUGGGAACUAGUUGUGGGGUCCAUUCCACGGAUUCCGUGACGCAGCUAACGCAUUAAGUUCCCCGCCUGGGGAGUACGGCCGCAAGGCUAAAACUCAAGGAAUUGACGGGGACCCGCACAAGCGGCGGAGCAUGCUGAUUAUUUCGAUGCAACGCGAAGAAUCUUUACCCAGGGCUUGACAUAUACGAGACGCGCCAGAGAUGGUUCAACUCUUUGGACAACUCGUAAACAGGUGGUGCAUGUUGUCGUCAGCUCGUGUCGUGAGAUGUGGAUAGUCCGCAACGAGCGCAACCCUCGUUCUAAUGUUGCAGCACGGUAUGGUGCAAACUCAUGGCAACUGCUGGUCACUCGAGUUGGUGGAUGACGUCCAAUCUAUCAUGCCUUAGGUCCUGCUCACGCAUGCUCAAAUGCGGUAGACAAGGCUGCAAUACCGAAGGGGUGGACCCAAUUC
This 1213-nucleotide ribosomal RNA is filed under the name Microbacterium oleivorans. RNAcentral's name for it is "bacterial SSU rRNA". It matches the Rfam family "Bacterial small subunit ribosomal RNA", at positions 43 to 1274 of the family's 1533-position model. Lineage: Bacteria; Bacillati; Actinomycetota; Actinomycetes; Micrococcales; Microbacteriaceae. The record is from RNAcentral.